CAAUAGCGUAUAUUUAAGUUGUUGCAGUUAAAAAGCUCGUAGUUGGAUUUCGGGUGGGACGCAGCGGUCUCGCAUUGCGUUUGUACUGCUGCAGCCCUCCUUCUUGCCGGGGGCGGCCUCUCGGACUUCACUGUCUGGGGGUCAGAAUCGGCGAUGUUACUUUGAGUAAAUUAGAGUGUUCAAAGCAAGCUUACGCUCUGAAUAUAAUAGCAUGGGAUAACACGACAGGACUCUGGCCUAUCGUGUUGGUCUAUAGGACCAGAGUAAUGAUUAAGAGGGACAGUCGGGGGCAUUCGUAUUCCGUUGUCAGAGGUGAAGUUCUUGGAUUUACGGAAGACGAACAUCUGCGAAAGCAUUUGCCAAGGAUGUUUNCAUUG
RNAcentral lists this ribosomal RNA (377 nucleotides) under uncultured eukaryote. Its description in RNAcentral is "partial 18S ribosomal RNA". It matches the Rfam family "Eukaryotic small subunit ribosomal RNA", at positions 592 to 975 of the family's 1831-position model. The record is from RNAcentral.